GGGGGAUUCGCCCCAUAGCGGCGCCGCAUGAAAUCCCGCACGAAGGCGGGGAAGCGCCGCCCCACAAUGCUGUCCCGCACCGCCCGCAUCAACCGCAGCUGGUAGGCGAUGUUGUGCACUGUGAUGUGGUGCAGCGCCGCGGGGUCGGAGCGCAGCAACGCAUGGAGGAACGCACGGCUGUGCCGCUGACAUGUGGGGCAGUCGCAGUCCUCAUCAAUGGGGCGGAAAUCCUUUGCAAACUGACGGUUCUUCAGCUGCAGAGACCCCCAUGGGCCCAACGCGGAGCCGAAGCGCGCUGUCCGUGUGGGGAAGACGCAGUCAAACAUAUCGC
Molecule: long non-coding RNA, 331 nt
Filed under: Gallus gallus (chicken)
Lineage: Eukaryota; Metazoa; Chordata; Aves; Galliformes; Phasianidae
Source: RNAcentral